UUAGCGAUGACACAUGAUAUCUCAUAUACUAGCGUACUACUUUUGCAAUAGAAAUAUAUUGUAAAAGUAGUAAGAGUAAUGUAGUAUGCUGUUCCGAAUUCAUUAUCAUAUAAAGUUUUGUCAUUGCAAAAACGCAAACCUGGUUCCUGGUUGGCAUCUACAUGAUGGAUGUGUUACAUGUGAAUGGUCUGGACUAUUAAAACGAUUUCCACAGCUUUUGGCUAGCAUGCUCUGAAGGUGAUCUGACCCAAAUUUGGAGAUUUGAUGAACACUGCAGGAGGAGAUCGAAAAAUCAGGGAGAAAAUAACAGCCUACAGGCUUGGAACAACAUGAAGCAGAUUGGUGGUGCUAGAGCAUCUUUCUCACUCUCUCUCCAUCUCUGUACGUUACAAGAUGUUCUAGGCGUGGAGUCCGUAAUCUUUCAAACCUGACCAGCAGAGGAAAACAAAUAUCUCUCGUAGUGAUCAGAGACACGUUCAUCAUGCGGUCAAUAAACAGACCACUGCAAAAGGCUAAACAAAUGCUUUAGCAAUGGUCUAAUUCUGUUUGUACUUUGGAUUUACUCCACCAGAAAAAUGUGCAUGUGUGUAACAGUGUUGGGGAAUGACUAACAAAAAUAGAGAUGCUCCUGACUAACUAUUUACACAUUACUACAUGUACCACAAUAGUAAUAACAGUAAAUUAUGCAUAAUUACAAGUAACUAACCCUAACCCAAACCGUAACUCUAUAGUAAGUACAUGUAGGUAAUUAAUAGUACUCAGUACAGUAUUAUAGUUAUCAUGAUUAAUUAAAAGUUCAGUUAAAUGCAGUCACCCUAAUUUUGUGUCAGAUAUAUUGCAGAUUAAACAGUGAAUACUAUAGUGAAUACUAUAUUUAUAUAUAAUAUAAAUUAUAGCAAUUAUCGGGUUUCAAGCAUUUUAAGGCCUUUAAGCACAUGUGUAAAAAGGUAUAAUAUUUAAUUAGCAAGCCUGUAACCAUCACAAUCAUAGAUGAAAAAGACCAUUUACUACCAAUACAGGCAAUUUACCAUAGGAAAUUUAUAGUUUAUAAAGCUUUUUAACAGUUAUCGAGGUUGUGUCAAAAACCUAGGACUAGUUCACCAAAGUUGUUUUUUUUUUAAAUAAUCUCCAAUAUUUAACAAACAAUUUGACGGACAGCGGCGGUCCUAGAGGCAAAGUUGCUCAGAAUGAGGAGUUCUACCAUGUGGUAUAAAAUUUCGAAGGUGCAUGCAAAAAAUAGCAUGAUAUACAGUAUAUGCAUGUAAAAACACAUAGACACCCCCGGUGGCUGAUUUCUUUUAAAUUUCUCACAAGCUUCAAGGGCCGUGAGUCAAACAGGCCCAGUGAGAUUCAUUCCGAUCAGCC
Megalobrama amblycephala (Wuchang bream) is the source of this 1365-nucleotide long non-coding RNA. RefSeq lists it as uncharacterized. The transcript has 4 exons. Lineage: Eukaryota; Metazoa; Chordata; Actinopteri; Cypriniformes; Xenocyprididae. The record is from RefSeq and is a predicted model, not a curated record.